RNAcentral lists this ribosomal RNA (117 nucleotides) under Diaphorina citri (Asian citrus psyllid). Lineage: Eukaryota; Metazoa; Arthropoda; Insecta; Hemiptera; Psyllidae. The record is from RNAcentral.
CAAGAAUAUUAUAUCACGUUGAAUGUCCCAGUUCCCGAUAGAUCACAGAAGUGAAGCAACGUUGCCCAUGGUUUUUAUCUGGAUCGGUGGCCAUCUGGGCAAGCCCAUGCCGCUGGC